AGAAAAAUUAUUAUUUAUUUUCUUACGUCAUAUCACAUUGCGUAUAUCAUAAUUAUUCAGUUGUGUUAUAUUUUCAACAGUCCCACCAAAUACAAAGAAACAUACUUUUAUUUUGUUUUUAUCUUUAGUCUACUUUGUCUGAUAAUAGUAGAUAGAUUUCAAUAUUAAAUAAAGUCUUAAAAAUAGUCUCAUAAUUAUAGUGUUUGGAUGGUUGAACUGACCGUUGCACAUGAACAUAG
This 239-nucleotide long non-coding RNA is filed under the name Ananas comosus (pineapple). RNAcentral's name for it is "long non-coding RNA (ACOM_LNC010933)". Lineage: Eukaryota; Viridiplantae; Streptophyta; Magnoliopsida; Poales; Bromeliaceae. The record is from RNAcentral.